UACAUGGAGUCCAAGCGUUAUCCGGAUUUACUGGGCGUAAAGCGUCCGCAGGCUUUUCGGAAAGUUUUCAGUGAAAUCUCUCGGCCCAACCGAGAAACCGUUGAAAAAACUACCGGAAUCGAGUGUGGCAGAGGCAGAGGGAAUUCCCGGUGUAGGGGUAAAAUCCGUUGAUAUCGGGAAGAACACCAGUGGCGAAGGCGCUCUGCUGGGCCAUCACUGACGCUCAGGGACGAAAGCGUGGGUAGCGAACGGG
RNAcentral lists this unclassified non-coding RNA (253 nucleotides) under Patescibacteria group bacterium. RNAcentral describes it as "contains 16S-23S intergenic spacer region". It matches the Rfam family "Bacterial small subunit ribosomal RNA", at positions 524 to 776 of the family's 1533-position model. The record is from RNAcentral.